CUACAGGUGGGAACCUCCUCAUGCUUCCCGCUGGGCAGUGAGUGGUGUCUGCUGCUUGCCUCCACCUUAGGUUUCAGAGCUAUAAAGGACAAGAAAUGUCAGGUCUUCAACGCCCAGAAAAGUUACAGAGGGCCUGCACCUGAAAUUUAAGUUUAACCUUAAGGGUGAAAGAUGGUACUUUAAGAAGAACUGUGUAUGUGUGAAGACACUGCCCAGAGUGCCAUAAAGAGAUUCCCAAGCAGGAGUUUAAACCUCGGAUUGUUUGAACCAAGAGACAACACUUUAUCUCAAGAUAAAAUGGGGUUUUAAAAAGUUAUUUUUCUACCAUCAUAUAUCAAUAACUGACAAUAUUGAUCAGUUAAUUGACACAUUGAGAAAAAAGAUUCCUUCAAAAAACGUUUUUCUUACUAUAAUAUUCUCAUUCCUCUCAGUAGUGAUUUGCUACUUGCAGGAAAAUAUAUCUGAGAUCCUGUUUAUCCAAGGUUGCUUUUGAGGAAGACAUUUACACUUGUUACAAGAAAGCCAGUGGAAGGCUAACAUGAAGAAAAAGAGCUUAUUUACACAUCGAGAAGGGGUGGACCACCUUUGGCCAUACAACUGAGGGCAGUAUAUUGGGGAUGGCGUGAAGUCUGGAUCCCUGCUCCACUGAACCACCAAUCUGCGCUGCUCACCUGUCUGGAUUGUUUUAUAAAAAGAAAAUUAUUAUGAUUUGGAUCUUAAAUGUCCC
RNAcentral lists this long non-coding RNA (727 nucleotides) under Heterocephalus glaber (naked mole-rat). RNAcentral's name for it is "lncRNA (ENSHGLG00100036228.1)". The record is from RNAcentral. Lineage: Eukaryota; Metazoa; Chordata; Mammalia; Rodentia; Bathyergidae.